This 509-nucleotide ribosomal RNA is filed under the name Chaetoceros curvisetus. Its description in RNAcentral is "partial Bacterial large subunit ribosomal RNA". It matches the Rfam family "Bacterial large subunit ribosomal RNA", at positions 1 to 524 of the family's 2925-position model. Lineage: Eukaryota; Bacillariophyta; Thalassiosirophyceae; Chaetocerotales; Chaetocerotaceae. The record is from RNAcentral.
UGCCUAAGGGCGCACGGUGGAUGCCUUGGCACUAGGAGCCGAAGAAGGACGUGACAAACGACGAUAUGCCUUGGGUAGCUGUAAGUAAGCGAUGAUCCAGGGAUUUCCGAAUGGGGGAACCCAACAGGUACUACCUGUUACCCGCAUCUGUUAAGGAUGUGAGGAGGAAGACGCAGUGAACUGAAACAUCUAAGUAGCUGCAGGAAGAGAAAGCAAAAGCGAUUGCCUUAGUAGCGGCGAGCGAAACGGCAGGAGGGCAAACCGAAGAGUUUACUCUUCGGGGUUGUAGGACUGCAACGUGGACUUAAAGAUUAUAGAAGAAUGACAUGGGAAGGUCAGCCAAAGAGAGUAAGAGCCUCGUAUUCGAAAUAGUCUUUAUACCUAGCAGUAUCCUGAGUACGGCGAGACACGAGAAAUCUCGUCGGAAUCUGGGAGGACCAUCUCCCAACCCUAAAUACUCCCUAGUGACCGAUAGUGAACCAGUACCGUGAGGGAAAGGUGAAAAGCAC